This 465-nucleotide ribosomal RNA is filed under the name uncultured soil bacterium. RNAcentral's name for it is "bacterial SSU rRNA". It matches the Rfam family "Bacterial small subunit ribosomal RNA", at positions 26 to 506 of the family's 1533-position model. The record is from RNAcentral.
AGGACGAACGCUGGCGGCGUGCUUAACACAUGCAAGUCGAGCGGUAAGGCCUUUCGGGGUACACGAGCGGCGAACGGGUGAGUAACACGUGGGUGAUCUGCCCUGCACUUCGGGAUAAGCCUGGGAAACUGGGUCUAAUACCGGAUAUGACCUCCUAUCGCAUGGUGGGUGGUGGAAAGAUUUAUCGGUGCAGGAUGGGCCCGCGGCCUAUCAGCUUGUUGGUGGGUAAUGGCCUACCAAGGCGACGACGGGUAGCCGACCUGAGAGGGUGACCGGCCACACUGGGACUGAGACACGGCCCAGACUCCUACGGGAGGCAGCAGUGGGGAAUAUUGCACAAUGGGCGAAAGCCUGAUGCAGCGACGCCGCGUGAGGAUGGACGGCCUUCGGGUUCGUAAACCUCUUCCAGCAGGACGAAGCGCAAGUGACGGUACCUGCAGAAGAAGCCGACGGACUAACGUACGU